RNAcentral lists this unclassified non-coding RNA (2800 nucleotides) under Hevea brasiliensis (rubber tree). The record is from RNAcentral. Lineage: Eukaryota; Viridiplantae; Streptophyta; Magnoliopsida; Malpighiales; Euphorbiaceae.
GAUAUUUUGUCUAUAAACUUUGAAUUUAUGGUCAUAACAAAAUAAUGAAAUUGAUUAAACAACAGAAUAAAUACCAAAUAAAAAAAAUAUAAUCCCUUGCAAUACUCCAAUAAGUAGUAUUUCUCGACUUAACAUUUAUUCUUGUUCUGUAAAAAUUAUAUAACUGAGAAAAAAAUGCAGCAUCUGCUUCUUUGGAAGGAAAAAUAGGUAGUAAAACUGAGACAACAGAAAAGAAUCAACAUAAGAAGAUAUUUCUGAUCUUCAGAGCAUCCAAUGUUACCCUCCAGCAUUAGAAGAUGUCUCUUCCUUGGAGAAAUGUGAAAUCUAAGAACAACCAAUUUAGUUGCGUUGCUUUUGAACAAUCUUGUAGAAAAGCUACAUAACAAAGCAAAAUGGCUCCAGAGAAGCUAUAUCAAAUUUGCAUAUUGUGUCUCACUUGAUUUAUAUUGCCCAUUUUUCUUUAGAUGAUUUGAUCCAGACUAUGUUAGCACUUCGAAGAAGUGUCAACCUCAUGCUUCCUUGGAAAUCAGUCGGAGAAUUUAAAUUGUAGACUGUAUCACUCUUCCUUUUUCAGAUUCUGUCUACUUCCUGUUAUGAGUUGGAACACUAAGAUAAAAUUUAGUAUUCUUGAAGUCAUCUAGAAGUGGGUUGUAUCCGUCCUUGGUCCUUGUCUUGGAGGGCAGACCAAACUCUUCCAUGAAUGAUGACGUGUCAAGCUACAAAAGAUUAUGCAAGUUAGAGUAACAUGGAGAAGUAAUUAUGUUAGGAAGAGUGAGGAUGCAUCUCAAAAAAUUUUGGGUGGGCUAUUUACAUUUAUUUGGUGCACAUCGAGCACAAUCUAAUUUGUUCACUAACACUAGGGGCGAAUCAUAAUUCAUAAACACCAGUCUUAAACCAAAGAAUUUUGUUAAACUGAUAUGUAGUUUUCCACGUAUGACAAGUAUGGUUUACCACCGAAACAAUUUAAUCAUCAUUUAGAUAAGGUAAUUAUGAGCCAGAGAAAAGCCAAAGCUACACUGUAAGAAGGAACUUACUACAAGGGUUCGCCUCUUCUUCCCUUGCUUGGAUGAUUUAUCUUGAUGCAUUUUCAGCCAGCCAGAACAGUAAUGGUCCAUACGUUCCAAAAGCCAAAAGUCAGUGGGGAAAAAGAUAUCAGCAUCACCCUUUGCUUCCAGAUAGCUUUUGUAAUCAGAGCUGCGGCCAUCUUUCUUGGUUGAAACCAAAGGAGCCCUUUCACCAGGUAUGCUUACAUCAGGUAGGUAACUAAAGUCUGAGGCAAUUAAUGACAUCUUUGGUAAUGCCUCAUGCAACACCUGUAGUAAUUUCAAGCAGCUGGUUGGUAACCAACAUCUUCGGGGUUUUGGAAACACCUUAGACCAAAUGCUUCUUGCUUUUGAUACAGAUUGAUUACUGUCCAAUUCCAUAAUCUCAACACAACACUUAAUCAAUGGGUCUUGUAGUGGCUUGUACAGCUCUGAGAGUGUUUUCCUAUCAGGUUGCUUCUCAAUCCAUACUUCCUUCCAUGGCAAAACUUGAUUUUCAGAAUAAAUAAGGUCAUGCGGAAGAUUAUCAAGAACCUGCAAGAAAUAAACGUAUAUAUGUAAACUUGCAGGUUAGGCAUUCAUAAGUAUAAUUGCUUUCAGAUUGCAAAAUAGGGAUAAGAGAGCCAUUCUCUACAGGGAUAAGGAAGCAAUCUAUUACUGUUACUUUAUCACAGUGGUUCUAGUCCAAACAUCAGGAGGUCAAAGAAUAAAAAAAUUUAAGGCCAAAAUUAUUUGCUAUUUCUAUUGCGUACAUCAUAUAUAAGAUUAAAAUUCCUAUGUGCAAAAUGUUCCUUACCAACAAGAUCAAGUAGGUAGGAAGCAAUAGCGGAAUGUCUAUCAUCCCCAAAUAUUUGAGGAAUAACUUAUGCUAUUGCUCCAAUAGCAGCAGUCUGUACCCAAAAAUAUAGUAACUCAAAACAUACCUCAAGCAUGAUUACCCAACAUGGCUGUUGCUCCACAUCCCCCCAUCCACCCCGGUCAGCAGCAUCACGACAUUCUACUUUAAACUUUGACAAGUGACUGCGAACUUCUCCAACAGUUUCUUUUUGUAUUUCAGCAAGUGAUGGACUGAUUUCCACUGAGGUGUAAGUCAAACUGUUGUACACUCUUGCAGGUGCAUUCAACAUUAUGUAAUCCAUUAUGCCCUUUGCACAAGUUCCAGAUCCACCACCAAUUUCAUAUAUUUUUAGUGGAACUGAAAGGUUAGCUGUUCGCAAUAUGGCUUCAGCAAUACCAUGGGCAUACCAAGGCUUAAAAAGCUCCACUGGAGUAAACCAUGAUGUGUCACUUUGCUUGUAGACCUUAUCCAAGUGGUUCAUAUAAGCUUUUCUGCCUUCAAGCUGAUUGAACUUAAUGCUUUUCUCUAGAACUCCAACUGACUUCGAUCUUUGAGAGAAGUAGCCGUGUUUUGGAUGGUAUAAUGCAGAAUGGAUGAAGUCUCUUACAAGAAUUGGUUUAUCAUCGACAAAGUAAGUGGAGUAAAGGGCUUGAAAUGGAGGAGUUGUGGACUCAUAUGCAAUCACUGCAGAGGAAAUCAGAGUUGAAAAGAGAAAAUGGUAUUUAUGUGCUUAUAUCUGAGUACACAGGAAGAGAGAAAGGAAGGUACCUCUGCGUCUAUGGAACAAGAAAUUGAGAUUUCGAGAAGAGAAAGAGCGAGAGAACAUGGUAAUCAAAAGAAUGUUAGCAGGUGGAUUCAGUGUUAAAAUUGAAGGAAGAGAUUCUCUCAGACUCAGGGGUUUUGUUGCGAGUUCUUAAAC